CAGCACCUCAAGUGGUCAGGAUGAUUAUUGGGUCUAAAGGGUCCGUAGCCGGUUUGAUCAGUCUUUUGGGAAAUCUGACAGCUUAACUGUUAGGCUUCCAAAGGAUACUGUCAGACUUGGGACCGGGAGAGGUAAGAGGUACUACAGGGGUAGGAGUGAAAUCUUGUAAUCCCUGUGGGACCACCAGUGGCGAAGGCGUCUUACCAGAACGGGUCCGACGGUGAGGGACGAAAGCUGGGGGCACAAACCGGAUUAGAGACCCGAGUAGUCC
RNAcentral lists this ribosomal RNA (271 nucleotides) under uncultured archaeon. RNAcentral's name for it is "partial 16S ribosomal RNA". It matches the Rfam family "Archaeal small subunit ribosomal RNA", at positions 477 to 747 of the family's 1478-position model. The record is from RNAcentral.